RNAcentral lists this ribosomal RNA (433 nucleotides) under uncultured bacterium. Its description in RNAcentral is "partial 16S ribosomal RNA". It matches the Rfam family "Bacterial small subunit ribosomal RNA", at positions 29 to 507 of the family's 1533-position model. The record is from RNAcentral.
AACGAACGCUGGCGGCAUGCUUAACACAUGCAAGUCGAACGAGACCUUCGGGUCUAGUGGCGCACGGGUGCGUAACGAGUGGGAACUUGCACUUAGGUUCGGAAUAAUUCCCCGAGAGGGGUGUUAAUAACGCAUAAUGUCUUCGGACCAAAGAGUUAUCGCGUUGGGAUGGGCCCUCGUUGGAUUAGCUGGUUGGUAGGGUAAAGGCGUGCCAAGGCGCCGAUCCAUAGCUGGUCUGAGAGGAGGAUCAAUCAGACUGGCACUGAGACACGGCCCAGACUCCUACGAGGCAGAGCAGUGGGGAGUAUUAGACGAGGAACGAAGGCGUGGUCCAGCAGUGCCGCGUGAGAGGGCAAGGCCUUAGGGUACUGAAGCUCUUUGACACGGAAUGAGAAUGACAGUACCGGGAGAAGAAGCACCGGCUAACUACGUG